Molecule: long non-coding RNA, 766 nt
Organism: Saccostrea cuccullata (small rock oyster)
Lineage: Eukaryota; Metazoa; Mollusca; Bivalvia; Ostreida; Ostreidae
Exons: 4
Source: RefSeq, a predicted model, not a curated record
UAGAGUGGCUCUGUCUGUCCCUUUUUCUCGACUGCUAACACUAAUCCAGAUAGACCAUAGAAUUUUCCUUCAACGUAAAGUUGACGCAACAACGUAAAGUCGGAUGGUAGAAUAGUAGGAAAAGCUUCUGGGGAUCUUAAAUAGUCAAGCACGAAAUCAAAGAAUCUGGGAUUCCUGUCAAUAAAAUAAGUUUCUUUGCAUGGCUUGAUUGGUGAAUUUGGAUUGGUCAUUGCUGCAAGUAAUGAUGAUGGGUCGCUCAAUAGUGUUCUUCUACUUGUUUCAAACUUUCUCCCCCCUACAUUCAGUAUUACAUGGCCGUCUUGUUGCUCUUUGAGUAUGUUCAGUUUAACUUCCAUCUGGUCAGUCGGGUUAUAUCUCUGUGUUUCAUUAGAUUCCUGAACUUCGUAGCUUUCUUCUUCUGGGGCAUUUAUCGAAAGGACAUCUUUGAUGGAAUUUUCAGAUAUCUUUGUAGAUGCGGACGAGUCCGAAUUUGAAGUUAAAGAUGAGGAUGAGGAUGUCGAUGAUACAACUGACUUGGAUUUAGUCAGGUCUCCCAAGUACUAGAUCAAUACGGAGUGCAACUUGUCGACCAAAGACCAUCUCAUUUGGGCUCACCCCUGUGGAUUCAUGUCCUGAGGACCUAUAAGCCAACAUAAGUAAAGGGAUGGCGUCAACCCAUUUUGUAAAGUAGUCUCCUACAACUAGUAGGAUCUUGAGAAGUAGAUGGCAAAGAAGUUUCAUGAUUUCCAGAGCGAGUGACAACUUG